This 108-nucleotide non-coding RNA is filed under the name chicken gut metagenome. Its description in RNAcentral is "THF riboswitch". It matches the Rfam family "THF (Tetrahydrofolate) riboswitch aptamer". From Rfam's summary of the family: THF riboswitch presents a pseudoknot that joins P1-P2 and the loop of P3 and two THF binding. The record is from RNAcentral.
CAGAGUAGAAUUUUGUGCGUAACGCUUAAGCGUAUAGUGCCGUCUGAACGGGGAGUUGUCAGUCGGACGAAAAGGUAAAUCCUGCGGUGCAAAAUUCGCAUCCCGCUG